GACGAACUGUCCUAACGUUGUUCGGAAUCACUGGGCUUAAAGGGCGCGUAGGCGGUCGAUCAAGUCAGGGGUGAAAUCCUGCAGCUUAACUGUAGAAGUGCCUUUGAUACUGGUCGUCUCGAGGGGGGUAGGGGCAUGCGGAACUAUGCGUGGAGCGGUGAAAUGCGUUGAUAUGCAUAGGAACUCCGGUGGCGAAGGCGGCAUGCUGGACCCUUUCUGACGCUGAGGCGCGAAAGCCAGGGGAGCAAACGGG
RNAcentral lists this ribosomal RNA (253 nucleotides) under uncultured bacterium. RNAcentral describes it as "partial 16S ribosomal RNA". It matches the Rfam family "Bacterial small subunit ribosomal RNA", at positions 524 to 776 of the family's 1533-position model. The record is from RNAcentral.